CCCCUUUUGGAUGGCGGGCAAGUGGACGUGUGCGAGUGCCAUCAGCUGGGGCCGUGAGAUGUCUGCAAUGCCCUUAAAAACAGGAGAGAAGGGAGUUUUUUGACACGACAAUCCCAGCAGUGCUGUUAACAAGCACGUGCCUUCUUUCCUCCCCUGCCAAUGGCUAAACAGUUGCUGAGGAAGCCUUUACCCCUCUUUUAAGCAUCUUUCCUGCUGCUUCCUCAUGUCAUUGGAAGCUGCUCAGAGAAGCCUGUUUAGCUACAGGCAAGCGCGAGUUCAGUGGGCCCUCACUUCUCCUUAUAAACUCUGCAGAAGCCUACAGAAGACGUGAUAGAGACCUGCAUGGACUAUUUGGAUGCAAAAAAGUUUUGUCUUGGAGAGCUGCUGUCCUCCCAGAACCAAGAUCCACCAGCACGCCGGGUGAUUUCCUUGCUGGAACUGCACAUGCACCAGAUAAGGCUGGGGCAGGGUUAACCCUGCUGGAGUUUCUGCUCGCCAGAGGAGAGCGUUGCUGUUGAGAUAACUUCCAGGCUAAUGGGGGAAUGAGCAGUAGAAAAGAGCUUUCCUUGCUCUCCUCAUGGGGAGCAAGCCCAACCCUUGAGGAGGCAGGAGUAGAAAUAUUUGGUUUUAGCGUUUUCAGGACAGCUCAGUUAUUCUAAACUUUAUUACAGUUGAAUCAGAACACGGCCUAGUCCCAAACAAGCUUUUGCCUGCUUGCAAACAGCCCCCCUCCCCAUUUUUGUUCAGAGCCCAAGAUGAACCCCACAGCUCUGCUAGGGUUACUCCAGGCCAGGUUCUUCCUUCCUUGCAGCCAUCUCAGCCCUGUGCUUUGUUCCCUCUUAACCUCAGUUCUGCCCUGGGGAUGGGAACGGUUGUGCUCCUGCUCUGUCCCAGCUGGUGGGCGCCACGUGGCUCAGCACCACCCUCGCUGCGCUGCAGGGCAGGAGAGGCUGUAGCACCUUUCUCUGCAUCCUCUGAGCUAACUGACAGGCUUGCCGGGAGCCUCAAACUCAGCCAGGCAUCCCCAGCCCGACGCGCCUUCCAAACGCUGAAAAACGAGGCAGAUGCAGCCACGUUCCCGCCCCAGGAAUAGAUGCUGCUCUGUCCAAGACUUGGCAUGAAACACCUGCAAGCCCCAAACCGCCAGGAUGGCGCUCUCCUUCCCCUGGAAGGACGGUGCCGACUGCUGUUUCUUUUAUGUGCCUGCUCAUAGCAUGCAGUGUGCAAAACUGAAGUGUAACAAUAUGCUUGGAUAAAUGCAGAGAGCAGGGCAAGAGUCCUGGUGCUCAAAGCCAGGAGUGCUUGGCACCAGCUCCACUGUACAAGGUAGCAUUGUGUAGUUAAGCUACUGCAGCUCAUUAAAUACUUUACAUUCAC
Long non-coding RNA from Struthio camelus australis, 1377 nucleotides. NCBI's taxonomy places the organism in Eukaryota, Metazoa, Chordata, Aves, Struthioniformes, Struthionidae. The record is from Ensembl.